UGGCUUCACACUGAGCCAGGAGAGGUUUGGGUGGGAUGUGAGGGAGGAAUUUUUGGCUGUGAGGGUGGUGGAGCACAUGGAAGUUGUGGCUCAGGGUCGGCCUUGGAGCCACCGGGCCCAGAGGAAGAAAUGGUGGAACAAAAUGGUCUCGAGUGUCCCUUCCCAGCCAAACCAUGCUGUGGUUUUGUGAUUUAAAAAAGACCUAAAAAUCAUCAGUUUCGUGCUUCAGUCAGCAUUUAUUAUGAUUAUACCCAAUACCUGGUAUUUGUCACCAAUGUGCUGCUUGAAUAAGAGCCCCUGGGUGAAAUAAGUGCCAUGUGCCUUAAUGACCUUCCCACUGCUGCAAUUUUCAGUAAUUUCAGUAUUUUCCAUGCAAACAAACAUUCUUUGUGAGUGUUUAUUUCUUUGAACAAAAAAUAGCCCUUUUCUGCUUGUACACAGACUGCAUUUAAAUUCUGCUUUAUGACAACUCCAUCAUUCAUUAUUUUAGUAGUUCUCAAUUGAAUUUUUGCUGGGACCACAGAUGGAAAAUGCUUCUUUAAAAUUUCCAUUUAUGUCACUGCAGGGAGGGAAAGCACAGCGAACCAGAGAGUUGAUCUUCUACUACUGAGGGUUUUGGGUUUGUUUGUGUAAGACUGGAAAUGAAUUAGGAGGCCAGGAAAAACUCCUGUAGAAGUGUUUGCUGGUUUUGAUAUUCAAUAACCUAAACACAAACAUUCACACACAAAUCUGGAAGCCUGAACUACAGAAAUGGAGCAGCAGCUCUGGUAAACUAAAUUCUGGAAUCCAAAUAUUUAUUCCAGUAGUUUAAAUUUGUUUGAAAGUGCCAGUAAGUCAGUUGCACUUCUGAAGCUUUGUGUACAAUAAAGCUGGUGUGAUAUUCAGUGUUUUAUCUGUUCCAUAAUUCCAGCUCAUCCCUGCUGGGUUUAAAUAGCUCAGUGCUGUGCCAGGGGUUUGAAAGAUUGUGCAGAGAGAAUUCUCCUCAGAUCAGUUCCUAUCUCAACAACAGCAAGUGAAUGUUCAGGGGUGAACAUUCACUUUUAUACCAAGAACAUGCAAAUAUGGGAGGCAGAAGUCUUGUAAUAAUUUGGCCCCAUGAGAAGAGAAAAGAGCUUCAAAACAUAGUUCCAAUAUAAAUGGUUAUUUGAAUGUUUUGAAGUUUAAAUGAAACCUGCAAUAAAAAAAAGGUUAACUAAUAAGUCCUAAACUUUAGAGUGCAAAUUUUUCCUAAUCAUAUGUUGGAGAGGGCAGCUGUGAGCACUUUCUUCUGUUUGGUAAUAAGAUAUUUUUUCUAGUAAUUACACUAAAUGUAUUUUUUUUUCCUAGGCAGGUUUGCAUAAUCUCUUUGGAAGAGGCUGAUUAAGCAGACAGCAUUAGCCUUGGACUGGGAAAACUUAAUUCCUUCCUUUCUUUCUCCCCCUUUUUUCAGAGUGCUGCUUAAAAUGGAAUUUAAUGCUAAUAUAUCUGAAAUAGAUUUGCAGUGUGUGCAAAAUACUGAUUUUAUGGAAGAGGAGUUGGAGUCAAGUGAGGAUUUCUUGGUGCUUGCGUGAGGGAUUACAGAGCUGCAUCACGUGUGUUCCUCCUAAGUCUCCUUUAUCUGUCUGCCCCUAAUCUGAUUUUAAGUCUGGACUAGCAGGAAAGGGUGAGGAUGCAGCUUUAGGCCUUGGUUUGGGCAGAGUUCCCACCUUGCUGGGAGACAGUGGCCAAUUAAACCUCUGUGUCUUUAUUUUCACAAUUCCAUCUCCUUUGUUCCAUCCUUGCUCUUCCGUGGUCUAAAUCACCCAAGCUGACUCCAGUUUUAACCUCCUUGGUUUAGGCUGAGUUUACAGCCUCUGUGAAUAGAGAAUCCCACAAUGGGUUGGGUUGGAAAGGACCUUGAAGGUCACCCCCUGUGCCAACCCCUGCCAUGGGCAGGGUCACCUUCCACCAUCCCAGAUUGUCCCUAGCCCUGUCCAGCCUGGCCUUGGGCACUUCCAGGGAUGGGGCAGCCACAGCUUCUCCAGGCAACCUGAUUUUUUUUUUGGGUUUCUGGACUAUUUUCCAUAGUGGUGUUCAGUUCCUUCUCCAGCUUACUCUAGGUUUAUAUUGCAUCACUUAAACCAAAAAUGUUUUUAUUCUAUUUUAUUCUAUUUUUCUACUUUUUUUAUUCCAGCUUUGUGGAAAAUCAGAGGGAGAAGGUUGUUCCUGAAAAACUGGCCUGAAGUUUAGCUCACAGUAGGAACCUGCUGCACGAUUUGGUUCAGCAUCCCAAGAAACUCCACUGGAGGUAACAGUUAAAACACAGAUGCUCUCUGGAUGGGGCCAGCUGCAAUUUCUCUCUUCUUUUUUAUUACCAUUAAAAAAAUAUGGCUUAAUAAUUAAUGUUAAUAUUUAGUUUAUGUGGCAAAUGAUAAGAGGCAUGAAUGGGAAUAAUUUCCAGCCAAGUAAAAAUUCUACUAAAUAGUUUUGUUCUUUUUUAUUAAAAAAGCAGAGUUUAAAAUUUCUUUUUAAAUACAGUAAAACUUUGAUAUUUUCCACUGAAGUAUAUUUGUUGCUUUGGUUUAGUCUGUCAGCAGCUUGUCCUCUAUCUUCUAAUACUUGCAGAAUUUUCAGUUCACAUUUACCAAAACCCAGAACUUCUUUCAAGGGGACUAUGAAUGUUUUAAUAGGCAGAUUUUAUAUUUUGAGUGAUCUGUGCUGGAUGUUGUUGCCAUCAGUGGCUCCAAGAAAUAAGUUAAAUGGUUGUGUGCUGUGAGUUCUGUGUUCAUUUGCAAGCAGCUUUUGUUAAAGAAAAAAAAAUAAAAAGAGAGGGGAAAAAAAGGUCAAGAAUUUGUUUUCCUCUUAUUUCUGGAAGACGAAGAAGAUGAGUGGCUUGAUAAAAUGGUGUUGACAAGUUCAGCUGUUAACCAUAUUCUCUUUAAAUAAUAUUUUACAUUUUUUUUCUAUUUUUUUUUGUUUUGUUUUGUU
Serinus canaria (Common canary) is the source of this 2946-nucleotide long non-coding RNA. RefSeq lists it as uncharacterized. The record is from RefSeq and is a predicted model, not a curated record. The transcript is spliced from 2 exons. NCBI's taxonomy places the organism in Eukaryota, Metazoa, Chordata, Aves, Passeriformes, Fringillidae.